UUCCUUCGCUUGUCCUUGAUAUAAUUAUCACACUGUAGUUUCCGUGAAACCUACUCGUCAGCACGAAUUUUUUAAAUAACAAAAACGCUCGUCUCCGUGUCCCCAAGUCGGUGCGUACCUCAUUCCGUUUUUCGUGCUCGUCGGCGAUAAAUAAAUUUAAGUGAUUAAAUUAAAAUGUCGAAACGAUCUAGUUCCUUUGUUCGCCGGGAUAAAAGUGGUGAAAUAAAACGUUUAAAAAGACAAUUAAAAGAUAUGCAGGAGCAAUUAACCAAUAUUCUAAGUUCAUCUAGUUCCAGCGAGGAAUCACCAGUUCCCAGAUAUCAGGUGAUUUUCAGUACACAUGCACUCCAACGGAAUGAGGUACGCACCGACUUGGGGACACGGAGACGAGCGUUUUUGUUAUUUAAAAAAUUCGUGCUGACGAGUAGGUUUCACGGAAACUACAGUGUGAUAAUUAUAUCUACGGACAAGCUCGGAAAAUUAUAAUUAAUCCUCC
RNAcentral lists this unclassified non-coding RNA (496 nucleotides) under Anthonomus grandis grandis. RNAcentral describes it as "uncharacterized LOC126747518". The record is from RNAcentral. Lineage: Eukaryota; Metazoa; Arthropoda; Insecta; Coleoptera; Curculionidae.